RNAcentral lists this ribosomal RNA (305 nucleotides) under uncultured bacterium. RNAcentral describes it as "bacterial SSU rRNA". It matches the Rfam family "Bacterial small subunit ribosomal RNA", at positions 333 to 636 of the family's 1533-position model. The record is from RNAcentral.
GAGCACCUACGGGGGGCAGCAGUGAGGAAUAUUGGUCAAUGGACGCAAGUCUGAACCAGCCAUGCCGCGUGCAGGAUGACGGCUCUAUGAGUUGUAAACUGCUUUUGUACGAGGGUAAACCCCGAUACGUGUAUCGGGUUGAAAGUAUCGUACGAAUAAGGAUCGGCUAACUCCGUGCCAGCAGCCGCGGUAAUACGGAGGAUCCGAGCGUUAUCCGGAUUUAUUGGGUUUAAAGGGUGCGCAGGCGGCGUGUCAAGCAAGCGGUAAAAUAGCGGGGCUCAACCCCGUCGAGCCGUUUGAACUGG